Molecule: transfer RNA, 73 nt
Organism: Immundisolibacter cernigliae
Lineage: Bacteria; Pseudomonadati; Pseudomonadota; Gammaproteobacteria; Immundisolibacterales; Immundisolibacteraceae
Rfam family: tRNA
About the family: Transfer RNA (tRNA) molecules are approximately 80 nucleotides in length. Their secondary structure includes four short double-helical elements and three loops (D, anti-codon, and T loops). Further hydrogen bonds mediate the characteristic L-shaped molecular structure. tRNAs have two regions of fundamental functional importance: the anti-codon, which is responsible for specific mRNA codon recognition, and the 3' end, to which the tRNAs corresponding amino acid is attached (by aminoacyl-tRNA synthetases). tRNAs cope with the degeneracy of the genetic code in two manners: having more than one tRNA (with a specific anti-codon) for a particular amino acid; and 'wobble' base-pairing, i.e. permitting non-standard base-pairing at the 3rd anti-codon position.
Source: Rfam
UCCCCGGUAGCUCAGUCGGUAGAGCAAGUGACUGUUAAUCACUGGGUCGGCGGUUCGAGCCCGUCCCGGGGAG